RNAcentral lists this ribosomal RNA (1436 nucleotides) under uncultured bacterium. RNAcentral describes it as "bacterial SSU rRNA". It matches the Rfam family "Bacterial small subunit ribosomal RNA". The record is from RNAcentral.
GUUUGAUCCUGGCUCAGAACGUACGCUGGCGGCACGCCUAACACAUGCAAGUCGAACGAAGUAGCAAUACUUAGUGGCAGACGGGUGAGUAACAUGUAGGUAUCUGCCCUUUGGCCUGGAAUAACACGAGGAAACUUGUGCUAAUACCGGAUAAGUCUUUACGGAGAAAGCUUUAUGCACCAUUGGAUGAGCCUGCACUUGAUUAGUUUGUUGGUGGGGUAAUGGCCUACCAAGACUGUGAUCAAUAGCUGAUUUGAGAGGAUGAUCAGCCACAUUGGGACUGAGACACGGCCCAAACUCCUACGGGAGGCAGCAGUGGGGAAUCUUGCACAAUGGAGGAAACUCUGAUGCAGCGAUGCCGCGUGAGUGAAGAAGGCCCUUGGGUUGUAAAGCUCUUUCGUCGGGGAAGAAAAUGACUGUACCCGAAUAAGAAGGUCCGGCUAACUUCGUGCCAGCAGCCGCGGUAAUACGAAGGGACCUAGCGUAGUUCGGAAUUACUGGGCUUAAAGAGUUCGUAGGUGGUUGAAAAAGUUAGUGGUGAAAUCCCAGAGCUUAACUCUGGAACUGCCAUUAAAACUUUUCAGCUAGAGUAUGAUAGAGGAAAGCAGAAUUUCUAGUGUAGAGGUGAAAUUCGUAGAUAUUAGAAAGAAUACCAAUUGCGAAGGCAGCUUUCUGGAUCAUUACUGACACUGAGGAACGAAAGCAUGGGUAGCGAAGAGGAUUAGAUACCCUCGUAGUCCAUGCCGUAAACGAUGUGUGUUAGACGUUGGAAAUUUAUUUUCAGUGUCGCAGCGAAAGCGAUAAACACACCGCCUGGGGAGUACGACCGCAAGGUUAAAACUCAAAUGAAUUGACGGGGACCCGCACAAGUAGUGGAGCAUGUGGUUUAAUUCGAAGAUACGCGCAGAACCUUACCAACACUUGACAUGUUCGUCGCGACUCUAAGAGAUUAGAGUUUUCGGUUCGGCCGGACGAAACACAGGUGCUGCAUGGCUGUCGUCAGCUCGUGUCGUGAGAUGUUGGGUUAAGUCCCGCAACGAGCGCAACCCUCACUUUUAGUUGCCAUCAUUAAGUUGGGCACUCUGAAAGAACUGCCAGUGAUAAGCUGGAGGAAGGUGGGGAUGACGUCAAGUCCUCAUGGCCCUUACGUGUUGGGCUACACACGUGCUACAAUGGUAUCUACAACAGGAAGCAAGACUGCGAAGUUAAGCAAAUCCCUAAAAGAUACCUCAGUUCGGAUUGCACUCUGCAACUCGAGUGCAUGAAGCUGGAAUUACUAGUAAUCGUGGAUCAGCGUGCCACGGUGAAUGCGUUCCCGGGUCUUGUACACACCGCCCGUCACACCAUGGGAGUUGGUUCUACCUUAAGGCAAGGUUUCAAACCCUUGACCACGGUAUAGUCAGCGACUGGGGUGAAGUCGUAACAAGGUAGCCGUA